AAGCUAAGCAGUGAUGUGGAGCAAACCCUAAAAACGAAUCUCAGUUCGGAUUGAAGUCUGAAAUUCGACUUCAUGAAGCUGGAAUUGCUAGUAAUGGCAGGUCAGCAUACUGCCGUGAAUACGUUCCCGGGCCUUGUACACACCGCCCGUCACACCAUGGGAGCCGGUAAUACCCGAAGUCAGUAGCCUAACCGCAAGGGGGGCGCUGCCGAAGGUAGGAUUGGCGACUGGGGUGAAGUCGUAACAAGGUAUC
RNAcentral lists this ribosomal RNA (253 nucleotides) under uncultured bacterium. RNAcentral's name for it is "partial 16S ribosomal RNA". It matches the Rfam family "Bacterial small subunit ribosomal RNA", at positions 1247 to 1500 of the family's 1533-position model. The record is from RNAcentral.